UACGUAGGUGGCAAGCGUUGUCCGGAAUUAUUGGGCGUAAAGCGCGCGCAGGCGGUCCUUUAAGUCUGAUGUGAAAGCCCACGGCUCAACCGUGGAGGGUCAUUGGAAACUGGGGGACUUGAGUGCAGGAGAGGGAAGCGGAAUUCCCGGUGUAGUGGUGAAAUGCGUAGAUAUCGGGAGGAACACCAGUGGCGAAGGCGGCUUCCUGGCCUGUUCUUGACGCUGAGGCGCGAAAGCUAGGGGAGCAAACGGG
Molecule: ribosomal RNA, 253 nt
Filed under: uncultured bacterium
Lineage: Bacteria
Description: partial 16S ribosomal RNA
Rfam family: Bacterial small subunit ribosomal RNA
Source: RNAcentral